GGCCCCGUAGCUCAGCUGGAUAGAGCAACGGCCUUCUAAGCCGUAGGCCCUAGGUUCGAAUCCUAGCGGGGUCA
This 74-nucleotide transfer RNA is filed under the name Bacteroidota bacterium. RNAcentral describes it as "tRNA-Arg". It matches the Rfam family "tRNA". Rfam says of the family: Transfer RNA (tRNA) molecules are approximately 80 nucleotides in length. Their secondary structure includes four short double-helical elements and three loops (D, anti-codon, and T loops). The record is from RNAcentral. Lineage: Bacteria; Pseudomonadati; Bacteroidota. RNAcentral also lists the same sequence under 1 other name.